UGGGGAAUAUUGUACAAUGGGCGGAAGCCUGAUCCAGCCAUGCCGCGUGUGUGAAGAAGGCCUUUUGGUUGUAAAGCACUUUAAGCGAGGAGGAGGCUACUUGGAUUAAUACUCUAGGAUAGUGGACGUUACUCGCAGAAUAAGCACCGGCUAACUCUGUGCCAGCAGCCGCGGUAAUACAGAGGGUGCGAGCGUUAAUCGGAUUUACUGGGCGUAAAGCGUGCGUAGGCGGCUUCUUAAGUCGGAUGUGAAAUCCCUGAGCUUAACUUAGGAAUUGCAUUCGAUACUGGGAAGCUAGAGUAUGGGAGAGGAUGGUAGAAUUCCAGGUGUAGCGGUGAAAUGCGUAGAGAUCUGGAGGAAUACCGAUGGCGAAGGCAGCCAUCUGGCCUAAUACUGACGCUGAGGUACGAAAGCAUGGGGAGCAAACAGG
Molecule: ribosomal RNA, 430 nt
Filed under: Acidobacteriota bacterium
Lineage: Bacteria; Pseudomonadati; Acidobacteriota
Description: Acidobacteria bacterium partial 16S ribosomal RNA
Rfam family: Bacterial small subunit ribosomal RNA
Source: RNAcentral